CUCUCUCUCUCUCUCUCUCUCUCUCUCUCUCACAUUUGUUUGUUUGAGGCUCUUCUAGUUUAAAACCUCGAUUGGCAAUGCUGACAACAGCUCAUCUUGAAGAGAAUGGUGUCUUGUUGUUGGAGUCAAAUAAUAUGUUCAGGUAAAUGAUCCUUCACACUUUGUUUCUUUCUUUCCCUCAUACGUACGCAAAAGAUUAAAUGCUGAUGCUUAGACUAAUACUCACCUCCAUAACGACUAAUCCUCUACAAAAACAAAUGAUAUAUAUAUAUAUAUAUCUGUUUCUUUCACAAUGUCAAUGCAUCACAUUAAUUGGGGAUAUGACAAACUGUAUUGUUUGAUGGUGAUUGAUCUUGCAGGUGAAGUUUAGGGUUUCCACGGAGCCAAUGCAAAUUCUACGCAAGGUUUGGUAAAUAGAUAAGGUAGUAAGGAUCGUCGUUUCAGAACCUUUCGAUUUUUGCAUCGCAAGAGUAGCCAUCGAUCUAACUUAAAG
This 493-nucleotide long non-coding RNA is filed under the name Musa acuminata (dwarf banana). RNAcentral's name for it is "long non-coding RNA (MACU_LNC000538)". The record is from RNAcentral. Lineage: Eukaryota; Viridiplantae; Streptophyta; Magnoliopsida; Zingiberales; Musaceae.